This 318-nucleotide long non-coding RNA is filed under the name Lathyrus oleraceus (garden pea). RNAcentral describes it as "Pisum sativum (pea) long non-coding RNA (PSAT_LNC019521)". Lineage: Eukaryota; Viridiplantae; Streptophyta; Magnoliopsida; Fabales; Fabaceae. The record is from RNAcentral.
UAAAAUAUAACAAAAAAAAAUUGGACUUGGGCCUCUCUCAUUUGAGCCCACGGGUCCACAAAAACCAGGUUAUAAAUUCAGAGUUUCAGUGAAACAAAGGGAUGUCAUUCCUAUUACCCUGGCAGGAAAAAGAUAGUGAGAGAAGAGCUAACAGAGUUCAGAGCAACCUCCAAACCCUGAAGACAGCUCAUCUGCACAGAAUCACCCCUGCCUCACGUAAACCCUAAGAUUGUUUUGUAAACCUCACGGGUGCAACUCAAUUUCAAUCGAUCCUCCCCAAUCAGGUAUGCCCUAUUUCCACUACUUUAUACUUUCAAC